RNAcentral lists this unclassified non-coding RNA (425 nucleotides) under soil metagenome. Its description in RNAcentral is "partial contains 5.8S ribosomal RNA, internal transcribed spacer 2, and large subunit ribosomal RNA". The stretch from base 1 to 120 matches the Rfam family "5.8S ribosomal RNA", at positions 35 to 154 of the family's 154-position model. The record is from RNAcentral.
GAUGAAGAACGUAGCGAAAUGCGAUAAGUAAUGUGAAUUGCAGAAUUCAGUGAAUCAUCGAAUCUUUGAACGCACCUUGCUCUCCUUGGUAUUCCGAGGAGCAUGCCUGUUUGAGUGUCAUGAAACCCUCAAACCCAAGUUUUGGAUUUCGAUCCAUGCUUGAGUUUGGAUUUGGAUGUUUGCCGGUGAUGAACCGACUCAUCUUAAAAGUAUUAGCUUGGAUCUGUCUAUAUGACUGGUUUGACUUGGCAUAAUAAGUAUUUUGCUGAGGACAUCUUCGGAUGGCCAGGACCUAGACUACUGUCUGCUAACUAAACCAUCACUUUAAGUGCAUCUUUGGAUGUUACUCAUUGUGUAACUUUGACAUCUGGCCUCAAAUCAAGUAGGACUACCCGCUGAACUUAAGCAUAUCAAUAAGCGGAGGA